UCUCCUUCUCCUCAUUGCUGCGAAAGUUCAAAUCUCGCUGGACAGUAAGUUGUCUUCUUUUUUCUCCUUCUCUUCUAGUCUGCGACUGUGUGGCAUGUAGGUUUUGAUCGCAACUUUACUUUGGCGCAAUUUUUAGUUUUAAGCACUUUUUUUUAAGAAACGCAUUUGGAAACAUAUUUUUAAAAAGAAAGAGAAAAAAUAAGAAGUAAUGAAUAUGAUUUUCUUCUUCUUCUCUUGAAUUUUGUAUUGAGUAUAGUAAAAUGGGAUCGCUUGAUUUAAAGACUCAUAACGCAUUCCCAAGCGAUUUGGGAUGCAAAUAUUUCACGUUUUGGAAUGCAAAUUAUUGGUCGCGAAACCGAGGGGGUUAGGAGAAUCCGGCAACUAUGGUUUGGCACCUAGACAAUGUGGCACUUUUAUGUAGUAAUUGUUCACAUGAAUAGAUGAACUUGAGAUGCAUUUGAAUGAAGUUGCAUUUAAUUUAUUUAAUUUCUUAGGACACAUGAUUUAGAAAUCUUCAGAAUUGUUACAAAAUGCAUCCUGCUUUCAGAAAGUUAGUACUGCUGAAGAAAGAUCACCUUCAAUUUUAUCUUAACUCAUCGAAUUCAAGGCGAGGGAUCCAUUCCUCUUUGAUCACGUAGUCAAUCUCCUUGGCAAUUGAAUCAUCAGAAAGUGGAGGAAGGUAGGACAAAGUCUCAUACUUCUUGUUAUUGAUUGGGUUCCAUGUCUAUUUGAUGAAAAAUCCAAUCUUCAAAUAUCACAUAUUUUCCCAAAAUAUAUUUGAUUAUCUUGAAAAUCAAUUACUUAGAA
Molecule: unclassified non-coding RNA, 807 nt
Filed under: Hevea brasiliensis (rubber tree)
Lineage: Eukaryota; Viridiplantae; Streptophyta; Magnoliopsida; Malpighiales; Euphorbiaceae
Source: RNAcentral